GGUUUGUAGCUCAAUUGUUGAGCGCUUGCCUUGCAUGCAUAAGGCACUGGGUUCGAUCCUCAGCACUA
RNAcentral lists this transfer RNA (68 nucleotides) under Marmota monax (woodchuck). RNAcentral describes it as "tRNA.Ala". The stretch from base 5 to 65 matches the Rfam family "tRNA", at positions 6 to 65 of the family's 71-position model. From Rfam's summary of the family: Transfer RNA (tRNA) molecules are approximately 80 nucleotides in length. The record is from RNAcentral. Lineage: Eukaryota; Metazoa; Chordata; Mammalia; Rodentia; Sciuridae.